CACGGUGGGCUUAGCGACUGGGGUGAAGUCGUAACAAGGUAGCCGUAGGGGAACCUGCGGCUGGAUCACCUCCUUUCUAAGGAUAUCGGCGGAAAGCGUUCUGGGUUCGUCCUGGGAGAAGAGCUUCCUCCAUUCCAAAGAACAUUCAGCCGCCGUCCUCAUGUCCCUUCAUCAACUGGAACCGACGAGACGGAAUAGCGCAAGCUAUUCUGCACGUCGGUCAGUUCGGCCAGCGCGGCAUAGCGCGCCAUAAGGCGCGGCUUUGCCGCGAUGACGGCGCAGCGGGCACGGGCCGGUAGCUCAGGUGGUUAGAGCGCACGCCUGAUAAGCGUGAGGUCGUAGGUUCAACUCCUACUCGGCCCACCAAGAUAUAAGCGAUGCAUUCUACCAGCGCCGCGGGCAAAGCCCGCGUCGUCGAUCCUGCUGAAGCAGGUCGGCCGUGCUGGCGAAUGUGGACAAUAGCUUUGCUAUUGUCUCUCAUCGCUGGCGCAUGGGGCCUUAGCUCAGCUGGGAGAGCGGUUGCUUUGCAAGCAUCAGGUCAUCGGUUCGAUCCCGAUAGGCUCCACCACCACCCGAACGAUUAUCCAGUUUGAUGAAGACACCGGUUCCGGCGUAGCGAUACGUCGGUUUUGGGAGGCAAGCCUCCCUCUUUGACAUUGUGAAUGGGUUCUUAAAAUCGAUGCCGUGAUGGUGUCGGUUUGGACAAGCGAAGCGCACAGCAGCUGCAAGGCAUGCUGAAGCGAGCGUCUCCAGGCUGACUUCAAUCACUUAAUGGAUUGCGAGAGAGGCGAUGGCGCAAGCCAUUGGCCGAAACGCAUAUCCGACAAUCUGGCUGAGAUUAUAAUCAUCCGCACCAAGACGGCGUUCUAACGAACGCCGGGUAAAACCACGCUGCACUGCUCUGCCGAGUUUCGUGUCGCUCACCCGAUGGGUGACGAUCCAGUGUUGUCGUUGGUGGUGUGGACUCUCAAGCGUGAGGUAAGGGCAAUUCGUGGAUGCCUUGGCACAUACAGGCGAUGAAGGACGUGGCACGCUGCGAUAAGCCUGCGGUGA
This 1053-nucleotide unclassified non-coding RNA is filed under the name Sphingomonas sp. RNAcentral's name for it is "partial contains 16S ribosomal RNA, 16S-23S ribosomal RNA intergenic spacer, and 23S ribosomal RNA". The stretch from base 290 to 363 matches the Rfam family "tRNA". The record is from RNAcentral. Lineage: Bacteria; Pseudomonadati; Pseudomonadota; Alphaproteobacteria; Sphingomonadales; Sphingomonadaceae.